CUUUAUGUUGAUCAGAGCUUCCAUGACAGACAGUGCAUCUGAGAGAAACACGACUGAGGGCAAAAUGUCAAGGCCGCCAGCUGUCAAAAGGACUAGGAAUUGUACAAUACACUUAAAUUCCACACAAAAAUCCUUAUAAAUAGAGAUAAUUCACCUCAAAAUUGGAUGUAACAUGCAUGUUGUACUACGGAAAAGUGGCCUUGAUAUUUUCUUACGACCAGUAAUAAAAAAGUUACAGUAUAAGCUAUUUAAAGUAACAACAAAGUGAAGUAAUUCUAGCUUCUUGCAUAUGACACUCCGUCUUAUGAUGGUGAACAAUUGUGCCAAGUUACAUCAAAAUCCCUCUAUGCAUGACAAAGAAAUGCUCUGGACAAUGUCAUUGUUGUAUCUAACCUUUGACCUCGACCAUAGACCUAGGGACCUGGCUCUUGCGCAUAACACCCCGUCUCAUUACGUUGAACAUUCUUGUCCAGCUACAUCAAAUUCUCACCAUGCACUAAGAAGAAAUGCUCCGGACAAACUCAUUCUUCAAUUUGACCUUUGACCUUCAACCGUGACCUUGACCUUUGAGAUAGGGACAUGGGGUCCGCGCACAACACUCCCUCCCACCGAGAUAAAACAUUCCUGUCAAAUAUAAACAAGACUGGUCCAUGCAUAUCAAAGCUAUGGUCCAGACAAAAUCGGACGGACAGACGCACGCACGCACAUUCUGCUACCCAAUUAUGGCUGAUGAGUAUAUGAAAAACUUUUGUUCUUAUCAGCAAUCAUUAUUUAAUGACACUGUUUUAAAUACUGAUAAGUCGAUGUUCAUCUUCAGAAGAAAAUGACUCACGAAAAAUCUUCCUAAUGAACUUUCUCAGAAUUUUUACACAAUGUUACUGUCAUAUCGACGUUCAAUAUUGCAUACUGGUGCAAAUUUUGAGACAAAUAAAGAGGCUGAAAUAUGUUUUCCUGGAGUUUUAAUGGACAGUAAUGAUUAAAAGUAUUAAAUUUUAUGAAUCCCUGUCGCUACACAGUGAAAAAGGCCCCUCGUUCUGAAAUUUUGAAAUAAUUAUGCAAAAAUUGAAGCGAGCGGAAUCUGAUUUUUAGCUCAGGUGAGUUUUUCUGAUCGCUCAGACAUUUAGCUUGUGUAUACGAUAGAGGCUGUAUUUUUCAAUUGAUCUUCAUGAAAUUUGGUCAGAUUGAUUAUCUUGAUAAAAUCUAGGCCGAGUUCGAAAAUGGGUCAUCUGGGGUCAAAAACUAGGUCACUAGGUCAAAUCAAAGAAAAACCUUGUGUAUGCGAUAGAGGCUGUAUUUUUCAAUUAAACUUCAUGAAUUUUGGUCAGAAUAAUAACCUUGAUGAAAUCUAGGCCGAGUUUGAAAAUGGGUAAUCUGGGAUCAAAAAGUUAGGUCACUAGGUCAAAUCAAAGAAAAACCUUGUGUAUGCGAUAGAGGCUGUAUUUUUCAAUUAAUCUUCAUUAAAUUUAUCAGAACGAUUACCUUGAUGAAAUCUAGGCCGAGUUUGAAAAGCGGUCAUCUGAGGUCAAAAACUAGGUCACUAAGUAAAAUCAAAGAAAAACCUUGUGUAUGCGAUAGAGGCUGUAUUUUUCAAUCAAACUUCAUGAAUUUUGGUCAAAAUGAUUGCCUUGAUGGAAUCUAGGUCAAGUUCGAAUAUGGGUCUUCUAGGGUUAAAAAGUAGGUCACUAGGUCAAAUCAAAGGAAAAGUUUGUAUAUUCGAUAGAGGCUGUAUUUUUCAAUUGAUCUUCCUGAAAUUAAGUCAAAAUGGUCACCUUAAUAAAAUCUAGGCCGAGUUUGAAAAUGGGUCAUCUGGGGUCAACAACUAGGUCACUAGGUCAAAUCAAAGAAAAAACAUUGUGUAUGCGAUAUAGAGGUUGUAGUUUUCAAUUGAUCUUCAUGAAAUUUGGUCAGAAUGAUUGCCUUGAUAAAAUCUAGGUCAAAUUUAAAUAUGGGUCAUCUGGGGUCAAAAAGUAGGUCACUAGGUCAAAUCAAAGAUACACUUUGUGUAUGCGAUAGAGGCUGUAUUUUUUCAAUUGAUCUUCAUGAAAUUUGGUCAGAAUGAUUGUCUUGAUAAAAUCUACGUUGCGUUUGAUUACGGGUCGUCUGGGGUCAAAAAGUAGGUCACUAGAUCAAAUCAAAGAAAACCCUUCUGUAUGCAAUAGAGGCUGAAUUUUUCAAUUAAUAUUCAUGAAAUUUGGUCAGAAUGAUUGCCUUGAUGAAAUCUAGGACAAGUUGGAAUAUGGGUCAUCUGGGUCAAAAAGUAGGUCACUAGGUUAAAUCAAAGAAAACCCUUCUGUAUGCGAUAGAGGCUGUAUUUUUCAACUGAUCUUCAUGAAAUUUUGUUAGAAUGAUAGCCUUGAUGAAAUCUAGGUCAAGUUCGAAUAUUGGUCAUCUGGGUUUAGAAACUAGGUCACUAGGUCAAAUCAAGGAAAAACCUUGUGUAUGCAAUAGGGGCUGCAAUUUACACUGGAUUUUCAUUAAAUUUGGUCAGAAUGGUUGCCUUGAUUAAGUCUAGGUCAAGUUCGAAUAUGGGUCAUCUGGGGUCAAAAGCUAGGUCACUAGGUCAAAUCAAAGAAAAACCUUGUGUAUGUGAUAGAGGCUGUCCUUUUUUUAAUUGAUCUUCAUGAAAUUUGGUCAGAAUGAUAACCUUGAUGAAAUCUAGGUCAAGUUCGAAUAUGGGUCAUCUGGGGUUAAAAACUAGGUCACUAGGUUAAAUCAAAGAAAAUACUUAUUCAUACUCAAGAUUUUUUGCUCCAAUUUUAAUGAUAAUUGCUCAGAAUAUUUUUUUCCAUGAAAUCACUAAGUCAAAUAUGUUUACACUGUUAUGGUGUGUUAUGGUGAGCGACCUAGGGCCAUCUUGGCCCUCUUGUUUUAGAAAAAUAUUUAUUUUCUUAGAUUCUGAAAAAAAUGGUGACUAAGUAAUCAAUUUCAUAUGACCUAUUUGAAAGUUUGUUUAUACAGUGAAAACGAAUCCUCAGUAUAAGUUUUGAUUUUACAGUAAUAUAGUCUGACAAAAAACCUGAUAGAGACAAGGUAUAUCAAUGUAAAAAGGUUUAUGUAAUGUUUGUUAUAUUUGAGAAACUAAUAAAAACAGUAAAAAGUGACAUCAUGCUUUUUGACAGGUGAAGACGACACCUGGUAGUAACAAGAGACGAAGAAUUGUCGUAGAGGAGGGGGAAGGUAGUGUAGAAAAUGAAUCCGGUGAUGAAUCUGAGGAAGGGAGUGAUGAUGAUGAUGAUGCUAGCAGUGGUGUUGAUGAAGCUGGUGUUUCAUCAGAUGAUGCUUUUGAAAAAUAUUCUCAAGUCAAAGACACAAUUGACGUACAAUUUGAAAGACUAAAGAAAACAUUCCAAAGGUUGGAUGAUAAUUUAAAGG
Mercenaria mercenaria is the source of this 3372-nucleotide long non-coding RNA. RefSeq lists it as uncharacterized. The record is from RefSeq and is a predicted model, not a curated record. Lineage: Eukaryota; Metazoa; Mollusca; Bivalvia; Venerida; Veneridae. The transcript is spliced from 3 exons.